AUCGCUUCUCGGCCUUUUGGCUAAGAUCAAGUGUAGUAUCUGUUCUUAUCAGUUUAAUAUCUGAUACAAAAAAAAAAAAGAAUAGAAGGUAGCCCUA
This 97-nucleotide small nuclear RNA is filed under the name Myotis lucifugus (little brown bat). RNAcentral's name for it is "U2 spliceosomal RNA". It matches the Rfam family "U2 spliceosomal RNA". From Rfam's summary of the family: U2 is a small nuclear RNA (snRNA) component of the spliceosome (involved in pre-mRNA splicing). The record is from Rfam by way of RNAcentral. Lineage: Eukaryota; Metazoa; Chordata; Mammalia; Chiroptera; Vespertilionidae.